GGAUUCCUCCUGAGUCAGGCAGAGGAGAGGAAGCAGGCAGAGCAGCAGGGAAAGGAUCUGUUUGCAGAAAUGGGCCCGUAUUCCUCUGAGGCAGAGAGAACUCCCUUGGACAUCAGAGAGAGGCCACAGGGUGACGAUAGGAUGUUGGCAAGACCUCGUUCAUCCUUUCAUGGCUGUGGAGGGGAAGCGGCAGCUGUGGAACCAGAUCAGGUA
Long non-coding RNA from Lacerta agilis (Sand lizard), 213 nucleotides. RefSeq lists it as uncharacterized. The record is from RefSeq and is a predicted model, not a curated record. NCBI's taxonomy places the organism in Eukaryota, Metazoa, Chordata, Lepidosauria, Squamata, Lacertidae. The transcript has 3 exons.